RNAcentral lists this ribosomal RNA (253 nucleotides) under uncultured bacterium. Its description in RNAcentral is "partial 16S ribosomal RNA". It matches the Rfam family "Bacterial small subunit ribosomal RNA", at positions 524 to 776 of the family's 1533-position model. The record is from RNAcentral.
UACGUAGGGUGCAAGCGUUGUCCGGAAUUAUUGGGCGUAAAGAGCUCGUAGGCGGUCUGUCACGUCGGCUGUGAAAACCCGGGGCUCAACCCCGGGCCUGCAGUCGAUACGGGCAGACUAGAGGUAGGUAGGGGAGAAUGGAAUUCCUGGUGUAGCGGUGAAAUGCGCAGAUAUCAGGAGGAACACCGGUGGCGAAGGCGGGUCUCUGGGCCGAUACUGACGCUGAGGAGCGAAAGCGUGGGGAGCGAACAGG